This 1488-nucleotide ribosomal RNA is filed under the name Triticum aestivum (bread wheat). RNAcentral's name for it is "partial small subunit ribosomal RNA". The record is from RNAcentral. Lineage: Eukaryota; Viridiplantae; Streptophyta; Magnoliopsida; Poales; Poaceae.
GCCGUCCAUCUACCCCGGUCGCCAUGGGCGCUCCCGGUGCUCGGCCAUCUCCACCACCUCGCGGGCGACCUGCCGCAUCGCGUCAUGCGCAACCUGGCACGGCGCCACGACCUGCUCGUGAUGCUCUGCCUCAGCGGGCUGCCCGUCGUCGUCGCCUCCUCCACGGACGCCGUGUGCGAGGUCAUGGUGUCCCGCGACGUUGACUUCGCCUCCCGCCACAUGAGCUGCAUGGUGCGCCUGUCCAUCCCGCGGGGCACCGAGGGGAUCAUCUUCACACCCUGCAGCGACGAAUGGCGCCAGCUCCGCAAGAUCUGCACCGUCGAGCUACUCAGCGCUCGGCGCGUGCGCUCCAUCCACCCCAUGCGCGAGCAGGAGGCCGGCCGGCUGCUCCACGCAGUGGCGGCGUCUGCGUCGCAGCGUACGGUGAACCUCAGUGAGCUAUUGUCGGUGUACGCUGCCGACUCGUCGGUGCGCGCCGUCCUCAGGAGCAGGUUCAAGGAUCGGGGCGUGUUCCUGGCGCUGCUGCGACACGGGACCAAGUUGUUCGUUGGUAUGAGCUUGCCGGACCUCUACCCGUCGUCGUGCCUCGCCAUGCUCGUCAGUCAGACGCCAAGCCGGAUCAGGCAGAACCGCCAGGAAUUGGCCGCGUUCAUGGACGCUAUUGUCUGGGAGCACCAGAGGAACCGUCGGGCUGACGACGAGGAGGAGGACCUAUUGGACGUGCUCCUAAGGAUCCAGCAGGAAGGCGAGCUGCAGUUCCCCUUGUCCACUGACAACAUCAAGUCGGUCGUCGGCGACACGUUCUCCGGUGGCAGCGAGACGGCGGUGACGAUGUUGCAGUGGGCCAUGUCUGAGCUCGUUAAGAGCCCAAGAGCGAUGCAGAAGGCGCAGGACGAAGUCCGUCGCGCGCUCGCCGGACAGCCCACGGUGACCGAGUCCUCGCUCGCCGAUCUAAACUACCUGCACCUGGUGGUCAAGGAGGUGCUCCGGCUGCACCAGCCGUCACCGCUGCCGCUGCCGCGGGAGUGCUAGAGUGAUGGUUGCCGUCUCCUCGACUACGACGUGCCCAAGGGGACGAUGGUGCUCGUCAACGCCUGGGCCAUCAGCAGAGACCCCGCCCACUGGGACGCGGCCGAGGAGUUUGUGCCGAGCGCGGUGAGACCACCGACUUCAGAGGCGGGGACAUGGAGUACACGCCGUUUGGGGCCGGGCGGCGGAUGUGCCCCGGGAUGCCGUUUGGGCUGGCCAACGUGGACCUCGCGCUCGCCGGGCUGCUCUACCACUUCAACAGGUAGCUGCCGGGCGGUGCGGCCGCCGGCGAGCUGGACACGGCGGAGGAGAUGGACGUCACCGUGCGGCGGCGCCACGACCUCGUGCUUGUCCCCGUGGUGCAAUUGCCUGUGCCACCAAAUUAUUGAUAGUCGCAAAACAACCCAAAUGAUAACACCUACACAUGUGGCAUAUCUAUACUUUGCCCACACGCUUUGA